RNAcentral lists this ribosomal RNA (460 nucleotides) under uncultured bacterium. Its description in RNAcentral is "partial 16S ribosomal RNA". It matches the Rfam family "Bacterial small subunit ribosomal RNA", at positions 338 to 795 of the family's 1533-position model. The record is from RNAcentral.
CCUACGGGGAGCAGCAGUGAGGAAUAUUGGUCAAUGGGCGCGAGCCUGAACCAGCCAAGUCGCGUGAGGGAAGACGGUCCUAUGGAUUGUAAACCUCUUUUGUCGGGGAGCAAAAGACGCCACGCGUGGCGUUCCGAGAGUACCCGAAGAAAAAGCAUCGGCUAACUCCGUGCCAGCAGCCGCGGUAAUACGGAGGAUGCGAGCGUUAUCCGGAUUUAUUGGGUUUAAAGGGUGCGUAGGUGGUUAAUUAAGUCAGCGGUGAAAGUUUGUGGCUCAACCAUAAAAUUGCCGUUGAAACUGGUUGACUUGAGUGGGCGAGAAGUAUGCGGAAUGCGUGGUGUAGCGGUGAAAUGCAUAGAUAUCACGCAGAACUCCGAUUGCGAAGGCAGCAUACCGGCGCCCAACUGACGCUGAAGCACGAAAGCGUGGGUAUCGAACAGGAUUAGAUACCCGAGUAGUC